UACAGAGGGGGCAAGCGUUGUUCGGAAUUACUGGGCGUAAAGGGCGCGUAGGCGGCCUUCUAAGUCGAAUGUGAAAUCCCCGGGCUCAACCCGGGAACUGCGUCCGAUACUGGAAGGCUUGAAUCCGGGAGAGGGAUGUGGAAUUCCAGGUGUAGCGGUGAAAUGCGUAGAUAUCUGGAGGAACACCGGUGGCGAAGGCGGGAUCCUGGGCCAGUACUGACGCUGAGGAGCGAAAGCGUGGGGAGCGAACAGG
This 253-nucleotide ribosomal RNA is filed under the name uncultured bacterium. RNAcentral's name for it is "partial 16S ribosomal RNA". It matches the Rfam family "Bacterial small subunit ribosomal RNA", at positions 524 to 776 of the family's 1533-position model. The record is from RNAcentral.